GAUGAACGCUGGCGGCGUGCCUAAUACAUGCAAGUCGAGCGAACAGACGAGGAGCUUGCUCCUCUGACGUUAGCGGCGGACGGGUGAGUAACACGUGGAUAACCUACCUAUAAGACUGGGAUAACUUCGGGAAACCGGAGCUAAUCCCGGAUAAUAUAUUGAACCGCAUGGUUCAAUAGUGAAAGACGGUUUUGCUGUCACUUAUAGAUGGAUCCGCGCCGCAUUAGCUAGUUGGUAAGGUAACGGCUUACCAAGGCAACGAUGCGUAGCCGACCUGAGAGGGUGAUCGGCGACACUGGAACUGAGACACGGUCCAGAGUCCUACGGGAGGCAGCAGUAGGGAAUCUUCCGCAAUGGGCGAAAGCCUGACGGAGCAACGCCGCGUGAGUGAUGAAGGUCUUCGGAUCGUAAAACUCUGUUAUUAGGGAAGAACAAAUGUGUAAGUAACUAUGCACGUCUUGACGGUACCUAAUCAGAAAGCCACGGCUAACUACGUG
This 497-nucleotide ribosomal RNA is filed under the name uncultured bacterium. Its description in RNAcentral is "partial 16S ribosomal RNA". It matches the Rfam family "Bacterial small subunit ribosomal RNA", at positions 28 to 507 of the family's 1533-position model. The record is from RNAcentral.